Molecule: long non-coding RNA, 1072 nt
Organism: Centrocercus urophasianus (Greater sage-grouse)
Lineage: Eukaryota; Metazoa; Chordata; Aves; Galliformes; Phasianidae
Exons: 2
Source: RefSeq, a predicted model, not a curated record
CAGUAAGAUCAAAGCAAAAUGUCUGAUAAUUUUUCUUUUACAGAGUUUCCUUCUUUUCCUCCUUGUAUUUUCAGACAUGCUUCUGCAUUUGGAGGUCACCCUAAGCUGUUCUUUGGAGAAAGCUGACAUGGAAGCCUUGAUAGCAUUAAAGCGAUCCCAAAAGGGAUUAGGAUCAGAUCUGAGGGCAAAAUUUCUGCUUCAAUCAAGCUGGACUGUUCCACUGCUUUUGUUUUGCAUACAAGAACUCAAGAUGUGAAGCCAGUGUGGCAGAAGCAGCUCUGCAAUAAACGCUGACGAGGACGACUUCACUAAGCAUUUGGCUUUUUCUUCUUUGAGAUAACAUGUGGUAAUAGAAAUAAAUCAGACCUAGAAAGACAGAUCGCUUCCCAGCCUUUCACUUAGCAAAAUGGACUUAUCCUGCAAUGGGACGUUUUUCACCAAAACCACUUGUUUGUAUGCAUCUGCACUGAGUGUGUACUCUCGUUGAAUCUGAGUCCACAGGCAGAAGUGGACACCACGUCAGAGGAUCCUAAAAGAGCUAAAUGAAGCACAAAAUGUUCCAGGAGUGCCUGACUCACAGUAAAUGGCAGCCAGUCUUUGCUGAGGGCAGCAGUCAUGAGACUAUGGCCUAGAAAGCGAGGAAAAGAAACACUAAUGGCCUGGAAACGUAUGGCUUGGAAAGAAACAUUGCUCACAAAAGGAGCAGAAACAUCUUCCCUCCACCCCACUGAGUCUCCAGAAAGAAUUCUUCUUUUCAUUGUGUUCAUCCUGCAUUGCUGACACCCUCAUGAAAUCAUGAAUUUACAUCAGCCAAGUUCCUCGGUGAAAGAAAUUAACAUACUGGACUGUUUUGCAAGGUAAAGUAGUGGGUGUGUACCUGAAAAUGAAUGAAACAACACAGAGAAUACACGUUUUAGACUCUAUGAACCAUGGCUCAGACUGUGUGUUGAAUAGUUUUGAAUGAUGAAGUAGCCUGUUGUUAUUAGAUUGAUGUUUAUUACCUGGUGAAACCCCUACAGCUAUAUUAAUUGCAUAAGAACACAUAUUAAACCUGUUGAUAGGCAGAAAACAA